RNAcentral lists this long non-coding RNA (1575 nucleotides) under Homo sapiens (human). RNAcentral describes it as "HSALNT0395557". The record is from RNAcentral. Lineage: Eukaryota; Metazoa; Chordata; Mammalia; Primates; Hominidae.
CGGAACCUGGCGCACAUCACUUUCAAAACGCAGCGGGGCCUGGAACCAAGGCCAAGGCCGCCUCUUUCGGUUUCACUUGGACGCUUGUUCUUGCUGGGGAUGGAGGUCAAUCACAAGGCUCCGGGAAGCACGGGCACGAGUCACAAAGCAGGUCACUGAGACAGCGGCACCAGGCCCGCCAGUCCGAUCUGCUGACCCCAGCCAGGGCCCAGCACUCCCAUGCCCUGCACUGCACGAGGCUGCCCGGGACAGUGCCUGCAGGGGAGAUGACUCGGCAAUGACUCUCUGGGCCCCUCCUCCCACCCCAUCACUCAUGGGGUUGUCCAGGGCAAGAGGCCCAGGGGAAUCCGCAGGAGAGCCAGGGCACAGGGCACGAGUGCGGCCCCAGGCUGAGGCCUCCGUGGGACUGAGCUUCAGGGCCACGCUGCCAUGCUGAGCUCUCACGGGGCCUCCGCCUGGACCACCAGGCACCCUCAGGCUGACUGGCCCCUGUGUGCCACCCAUGUGGCCCAAGGCCUGUCCCCCUCAUGCCAAGAGCCCCGUAGGGCCCCUUCGAGUAGAAUGCAGCAUUCCCUGCCCCUCCGAAGCAGUGAGUGGUUCAGGGGCAGAGCUGGGCCUGGGCGAGGGGCCCCCGGGGGGUGGGGUGAUGCCAUCACUGUUGCCGUCCUACGGGUUGAGACAGGACAGCUGCCCAUCACCCCUUGAUGCAAGCUGGCUGCAGGCUGCCUGACCAGUUCCCGGGGACACCGUGCUCAACCCUGUGGUGACAACUGGGGAUUCCGAAGGACAGGGAGGUCUUACUUUCUGUUAAACACUUUUAUUUUCCCUGAGAUACAAUCCACACCAGGAGGGGCACCUGUCCGGAGCAUAUGACUCAACGGUUUCAACGUAUUCUAAGGCAGACCACCACAGCUUCUAAUUCCAAAACAUUCCGCUCCCCCAAAACACAGCCGUGUCCCCAACAGCAGUCACUCCCCCGCCUCUACAGCCCCUGCAACCACACGCCCACUUCUCUUCUGUGGACUGGCCUGCUCUGGACACGUGACCACACGUCUACCCCCCAUCUGUGGACUGCCCUGCUCUGCACACGUCACAUGAACGGAGUCACGUGCCGUGGCCUUUUGCGUCUGGCGUCUCUCCGCAAGCACGUCUCCGCAGAGCAUCCAUGCCGGGCGCACAGACGACAGAUCUAAUCUCCGCCUCCUCACGGGGCCCAGGAGGCCCAGGGCGAGAGCUGAUGGGGCCCACGCAUCCGAAAUCCCCGUCUUGGCCAGAACCCCAGAAUGUUAAUCAGUUCAUCCAGGGAGACACCCACCGUCCCUGCCCCAGCACCAUCCGUGCCCGGCGUCCCUGGAGGCGCUGGGUGGGCUCUCCACAACGCCUGCCCCCCACGCCCCAGAACCCCCUCCAAGCCUCUGCAUGUGCCACGUCCCCCACUGGGGCUCACUCACCCGAGACUUUUAAACUGAGACUCCCUCAAAAGCUACUAAGACGAUCACCAGCCGGGCGCAGUGGCUCACGCCUGUAAUCGCAGCACUUUGAGAGGCUGAGGCGGAUGGAUCACUUGAGGUCGGG